This 484-nucleotide ribosomal RNA is filed under the name uncultured bacterium. RNAcentral's name for it is "partial 16S ribosomal RNA". It matches the Rfam family "Bacterial small subunit ribosomal RNA", at positions 30 to 507 of the family's 1533-position model. The record is from RNAcentral.
AUUGAACGCUGGCGGCAUGCUUUACACAUGCAAGUCGAACGGCAGCGCGGGCUUCGGCCUUGCCGCGAGUGGCCAACGGGUGAGUAAUUCAUCCGAACGUGCCCAGUAGAGGGGGAUAGGCCGGCGAAGGCCGAAUUAAUACCGCAUCCGACCUGAGGUUGAAAGGGGGGGACCAAAAGUCCUCGCGCGUUUUGAGGGCCCGAUGUCGGAUUAGCUAGUUGGUUUGGUAAAGGCUUACCAAGGCGACGAUCCGUAGCUGGUCUGAGAGGACGACCAGCCACACUGGGACUGAGACACGGCCCAGACUCCUACGGGAGGCAGCAGUGGGGAAUUUUGGACAAUGGGGGCAACCCUGAUCCAGCCAUGCCGCGUGCGGGAAGAAGGCCUUCGGGUUGUAAAACGCUUUUGUUCGGGAAGAAAACCUCUGGGCUAAUACCCCGGGGGGAUGACGGUACCGGAAGAAUAAGCACCGGCUAACUACGUG